This 278-nucleotide unclassified non-coding RNA is filed under the name Paurocotylis sp. RNAcentral's name for it is "partial internal transcribed spacer region". The stretch from base 1 to 46 matches the Rfam family "Eukaryotic small subunit ribosomal RNA", at positions 1786 to 1831 of the family's 1831-position model. The record is from RNAcentral. Lineage: Eukaryota; Fungi; Ascomycota; Pezizomycetes; Pezizales; Tarzettaceae.
AAGUCGUAACAAGGUUUCCGUAGGUGAACCUGCGGAAGGAUCAUUACAAAAGCAUCACGCGGGGUGACAAGCUCCUGGGAUGAGCGGCAUGCGUGCCGUGAAGCCCAGUUGGGCGAGUUGCCCAUCGUGGAAAACAUGCAAUUCUUCUGUGUACCUAUUACUUGUUGCUUCCCUGGCCCUGCCAGGGAAGGUAUAUCAAACUCUGCUAUCUUUGUGGUCAGUCUGAAGUUGUUUAUUCAUAAACGUUAAAACUUUCAACAACGGAUCUCUUGGUUCUC